RNAcentral lists this ribosomal RNA (253 nucleotides) under uncultured bacterium. Its description in RNAcentral is "partial 16S ribosomal RNA". It matches the Rfam family "Bacterial small subunit ribosomal RNA", at positions 524 to 776 of the family's 1533-position model. The record is from RNAcentral.
UACGUAGGGCGCAAGCGUUGUCCGGAAUUAUUGGGCGUAAAGAGCUCGUAGGCGGUCUGUUACGUCCGCUGUGAAAACCCAGGGCUUAAUCCUGGGCUUGCAGUGGAUACGGGCAGACUAGAGGCAGGUAGGGGAGAAUGGAAUUCCCGGUGUAGCGGUGAAAUGCGCAGAUAUCGGGAGGAACACCGGUGGCGAAGGCGGUUCUCUGGGCCUGACCUGACGCUGAGGAGCGAAAGCCAGGGGAGCAAACAGG